Molecule: ribosomal RNA, 465 nt
Filed under: uncultured bacterium
Lineage: Bacteria
Description: partial 16S ribosomal RNA
Rfam family: Bacterial small subunit ribosomal RNA
Source: RNAcentral
CCUACGGGAGGCAGCAGUGGGGAAUAUUGCGCAAUGGGCGAAAGCCUGACGCAGCGACGCCGCGUGAGGGAUGAAGGUCUUCGGAUCGUAAACCUCUGUCAGCAGGGAAGAACGGUCACUGUGCUAAUCAGCAGUGAAUUGACGGUACCUGCAAAGGAAGCACCGGCUAACUCCGUGCCAGCAGCCGCGGUAAUACGGAGGGUGCGAGCGUUAAUCGGAAUUACUGGGCGUAAAGCGCUCGUAGGCGGUAUGUCAAGUCAAGGGUGAAAUCCCCGCGCUCAACGUGGGAACUGCCUUUGAAACUGGCAAACUGGAGUGUGUGAGAGGAUAGUGGAAUUCCAGGUGUAGGAGUGAAAUGCGUAGAUAUCUGGAGGAACAUCAGUUGCGAAGGCGACUAUCUGGCACAUAACUGACGCUGAGGAGCGAAAGCGUGGGUAGCAAACAGGAUUAGAUACCCGAGUAGUC